GACGAACGCUGGCGGCGUGCUUAACACAUGCAAGUCGAACGGAAAGGCCCUGCUUUUGUGGGGUGCUCGAGUGGCGAACGGGUGAGUAACACGUGAGUAACCUGCCCUUGACUUUGGGAUAACUUCAGGAAACUGGGGCUAAUACCGGAUAGGAGCUCCUGCUGCAUGGUGGGGGUUGGAAAUUUUCGGCGGUUGGGGAUGUACUCGCGGCUUAUCAUCUUGUUGGUGGGGUAGUGGAUUACCAAGGCUUUGACGGGUAGCCGGCCUGAGAGGGUGACCGGCCACAUUGGGACUGAGAUACGGCCCAGACUCCUACGGGAGGCAGCAGUGGGGAAUAUUGCACAAUGGGCGGAAGCCUGAUGCAGCAACGCCGCGUGCGGGAUGACGGCCUUCGGGUUGUAAACCGCUUUCGCCUGUGACGAAGCGUGAGUGACGGUAAUGGGUAAAGAAGCACCGGCUAACUACGUG
Molecule: ribosomal RNA, 468 nt
Filed under: uncultured bacterium
Lineage: Bacteria
Description: partial 16S ribosomal RNA
Rfam family: Bacterial small subunit ribosomal RNA
Source: RNAcentral